GGAAUAUUGGUCAAUGGGAGGAAUCCUGAACCAGCCAUGCCGCGUGGGGGAAGAAGGUCCUAUGGGUUGUAAACCCCUUUUGCUCCGGAGUAAUAAGGCGCUUGCGAGCGCCGAUGAGAGUACGGGGCGAAUAAGCAUCGGCUAACUCCGUGCCAGCAGCCGCGGUAAUACGGAGGAUGCGAGCGUUAUCCGGAUUUAUUGGGUUUAAAGGGUGCGCAGGCGGCGCGUUAAGUCAGCGGUGAAAUGCCCCGGCUCAACCGGGGAGCUGCCGUUGAUACUGGCGUGCUCGAGUACGGACGGCGCCGGCGGAAUGUGUCAUGUAGCGGUGAAAUGCUUAGAUAUGCCACAGAACACCGAUCGCGAAGGCAGCUGGCGAGGCCGGUACUGACGCUCAGGCACGAAAGCGUGGGGAUCGAACA
This 419-nucleotide ribosomal RNA is filed under the name uncultured bacterium. Its description in RNAcentral is "bacterial SSU rRNA". It matches the Rfam family "Bacterial small subunit ribosomal RNA", at positions 358 to 774 of the family's 1533-position model. The record is from RNAcentral.